Molecule: long non-coding RNA, 305 nt
Filed under: Terrapene triunguis (Three-toed box turtle)
Lineage: Eukaryota; Metazoa; Chordata; Testudines; Emydidae
Description: Terrapene carolina triunguis (Three-toed box turtle) lncRNA (ENSTMTG00000009325.1)
Source: RNAcentral
CACCAACAGCACAACCCUGACGCUGGUGACCCCGGCGCUGGAUGGGAAAGAAAUCCAGUAUCUCCUCCUGUUCUUUGGCUUCUUGUGUGUCUUGCUCGUCGUAUUCAUCGUCUGCUUCCUGAAGAAUCGGAGGAUGAAGAAUCAGUUCUGGCCCAGCGUCCCGGACCCAGCUAACAGCAGCCUGGGCAAGUGGGUGCCAGCCGACCUACAGCAGGAGACUCUCCAGACAGCCAGUGCGAGGGAGCCUGGCCUGGUGACCAUUUCUGACAUCACAGUGCUGGAAAAAGGAGCCGAGAAGAAAGCAC